GAUGAAGAACGUAGCGAAAUGCGAUAAGUAAUGUGAAUUGCAGAAUUCAGUGAAUCAUCGAAUCUUUGAACGCACAUUGCGCCCGCCAGUAUUCUGGCGGGCAUGCCUGUUCGAGCGUCAUUUCAACCAUCAAGCCCUGCUUGCGUUGGGGUCCUGCGGCUGCCCGCAGGCCCUGAAAACCAGUGGCGGGCUCGCUAGUCACACCGAGCGCAGUAAUACAUCUCGCUUUGGGCGUGCGGCGGGUUCUUGCCGUUAAACACCCCCUUUUUACCAAGGUUGACCUCGUAUCAGGUAGGAAUACCCGCUGAACUUAAGCAUAUCAAUAAGCGGAGGA
RNAcentral lists this unclassified non-coding RNA (334 nucleotides) under soil metagenome. Its description in RNAcentral is "partial contains 5.8S ribosomal RNA, internal transcribed spacer 2, and large subunit ribosomal RNA". The stretch from base 1 to 120 matches the Rfam family "5.8S ribosomal RNA", at positions 35 to 154 of the family's 154-position model. The record is from RNAcentral.